This 210-nucleotide long non-coding RNA is filed under the name Glycine max (soybean). Its description in RNAcentral is "long non-coding RNA (GMAX_LNC002933)". The record is from RNAcentral. Lineage: Eukaryota; Viridiplantae; Streptophyta; Magnoliopsida; Fabales; Fabaceae.
UCUAACAUCACACAACAUAAACAGGCGUGAAGUUUAUCACGCCUUCAGGCCUAAGUCACACAUAGUAUGAUUUGUUGAGAUUUCUUGAGCUUCUUUCUGACUUUAAGAUUAAUUCUUUAGAGAGCUAUGUUCGUUCUAUAGCAUGAACAAUAGGUAUUUGUUUGUAAUUAUUUAACAAGUUAAAUAUGAAUAUUGUUAUUAACACCCCCA